This 76-nucleotide transfer RNA is filed under the name Deltaproteobacteria bacterium. RNAcentral's name for it is "tRNA-Asp". It matches the Rfam family "tRNA". Rfam says of the family: Transfer RNA (tRNA) molecules are approximately 80 nucleotides in length. Lineage: Bacteria; Pseudomonadati; Myxococcota; Myxococcia. The record is from RNAcentral.
GGUCACGAGCGCAAAUCCAGGCGAAGCGGCACGGUUGUCAUCCGUGUGUUGGCGGGUUCGAUCCCCGUCGUGACCG